CCUACGGGCGGCAGCAGUGGGGAAUAUUGGGCAAUGGAGGAAACUCUGACCCAGCAACGCCGCGUGAAGGAUGAAGGUUUUCGGAUUGUAAACUUCUGUCGCGAGGGAUGAAGAAUGACGGUACCUGACCAAGAAGCCCCGGCUAACUACGUGCCAGCAGCCGCGGUAAUACGUAGGGGGCAAGCGUUAUCCGGAUUUAUUGGGUUUAAAGGGUGCGUAGGCGGUCGGAUAAGUUAGAGGUGAAAUCCCGAGGCUCAACUUCGGAAUUGCCUCUGAUACUGUUCGGCUAGAGAGUAGUUGCGGUAGGCGGAAUGUAUGGUGUAGCGGUGAAAUGCUUAGAGAUCAUACAGAACACCGAUUGCGAAGGCAGCUUACCAAGCUACUUCUGACGUUGAGGCACGAAAGCGUGGGGAGCAAACAGGAUUAGAUACCCCAGUAGUC
Molecule: ribosomal RNA, 441 nt
Filed under: uncultured bacterium
Lineage: Bacteria
Description: partial 16S ribosomal RNA
Rfam family: Bacterial small subunit ribosomal RNA
Source: RNAcentral